GAUGAACGCUGGCGGCGUGCCUAAUACAUGCAAGUCGAGCGAACAGACGAGGAGCUUGCUCCUCUGACGUUAGCGGCGGACGGGUGAGUAACACGUGGAUAACCUACCUAUAAGACUGGGAUAACUUCGGGAAACCGGCGCUAAUACCGGAUAAUAUAUUGAACCGCAUGGUUCAAUAGUGAAAGACGGUUUUGCUGUCACUUCUAGAUGGAUCCGCGCCGCAUUAGCUAGUUGGUAAGGUAACGGCUUACCAAGGCAACGAUGCGUAGCCGACCUGAGAGGGUGAUCGGCCACACUGGAACUGAGACACGGUCCAGACUCCUACGGGAGGCAGCAGUAGGGAAUCUUCCGCAAAGGGCGAAAGCUUGACGGAGCAACGCCGCGUGAGUGAUGAAGGUCUUCGGAUCGUAAAACUCUGUUAUUAGGGAAGAACAAAUGUGUAAGUAACUAUGCACGUCUUGACGGUACCUAAUCAGAAAGCCACGGCUAACUACGUG
This 497-nucleotide ribosomal RNA is filed under the name uncultured bacterium. RNAcentral describes it as "partial 16S ribosomal RNA". It matches the Rfam family "Bacterial small subunit ribosomal RNA", at positions 28 to 507 of the family's 1533-position model. The record is from RNAcentral.